AACCCGAGGCCCGGCCUGGGGCGCGGCUGCUGGGCGCUAGGCCCGCGACGCUGAGGUGCGCGCGCCCCGGGCGGGAGGAGGGGCUGCACCGCCUGGCGAAUGGGAGGGGGACUGGCAGGCUCUCCCUUCCCAAGGGAGGUCGUCCUGUCGCCCUAGACUAAACCCAGGAAGGCUUUUAAAAGAAGCAGAGUCUCCGCGGGGGGAAGCUUGUUCCCUGAGAGGUGGCCGCAGACGAACCCACUGCUCAGUCUGGCAUCCCGAAGCCGCUCCGCUCCUGGCUCUCCCCGCUGUUCCUGCGCGCAGCGGGGGCAGUGCCCCCACACCCACGCGUGAUGGGAAGGCCGGCCUGGGGGUGGGAAGGCCCACCGAAAUAGAUGGUCCCCACACCUCACUGCUUCCUUGGAUGUGGCUAUUUUUUAUGCCAGUGUUCUCCUGCUCUGACCCUACUUGAACUUGACCGCAACCGGCCCCGCCUUGCAGGCCACCCUCCCGCAGCAGAAAACUGUGCGGAGCUCGCGCUGUCCUCGCCUCCGCUGACCCCACCUCCAUGUCCUCACAGACACUAUUUUUUCACAACACAGCUCAGAUCCCACCUUCUUCAUGAGGUUAUUCAACAAACACUAUUAAACUUGUAAGAUGUACCAGAUCCUGAGUUGGAGGCUGAGAGGAGGACAAGAAAACUGCUCCCGUAGCCUAGAGGGAGGGAGAGUCGCUUAAACCACCUGAUGCAGAAUGCUGAGUGCGGAGACCAGGAGGGAACAUCGGGUGGUGAUGGCCUCCAUGAUCCCCCAGAGAAAGGGUGUGACUUGAGUGCCUUCUUCCUCUGUGCUCCCCAGGGAGCAGCAGCAUCAGAGUGCUCCCAGGGUGCCAAAGGGACACACUGGACCAACUGGAGACCCUGGGCCCCCUGGAUUCACAGCUGACAAUGGAUUGAGGUGGGUAUAGAAGAAGUCAAGGAAAAGCCCCUGUCAUGAAGAGUUGGAUGGAGACAGGCACAGAGUGGCCGCAGGUCCAAGCAGAGUGAACAUGCGUCCAAACUGGCAGUGGCAGCCCCUAGAAGGGAGACACCAACAGCACCGAGAUCUGUGGUCUCCAGAGCUGACAUCUCCUGCACUUGCCACGUGCAGGCGCUGUGCGGGACCUCCUCUCCAUCCUGUGAGGGUCUCCCUGAACUCAGGGUCCCAAUGGAUUUCCUGGCCCCAAAGAGCCCCUGGGCACCCUGGGAAUGACAAGCUGCCGGGACACUCAGGCCAGAGAGGAAAGGUGGGUGUCCAUGGGGUUCAAGGGAAGGAUGUUCCUGGUCUGAGGGGCUUCCCAGGAGAGAGAGGCCUCCUAGGCACUGCUGGUUCCCCCCUAGGGAGUGAGGUGCAGCAGGAUCAAGGGACCCAUUGCCCCCCGCCAGGGUGCCCAGGCCCUCAGGAACCCCCUGGAUCAGCAGGAGAGACAGGUGUCCCAGGUGAAAAGGGCCCCAUUUGUCUGCCUGGCUGUGAUAGGGUGCAGAGUCCUGUGUGACUUCCUGGUCCUGCUGGGCCUCCAGGUGUGGCUGGAGAAGAUGGAGACCAAGAGGAGAACCCCAGAGAACCCGACCAAUCUUCUCUCCACAUGAGAGGGCUGAGGGCCCUCCUGGACCCCCUGGACUCACUGGUCCAUGGAACAGCCUGUAGCAGUGGGAGCAGAUUGGGAGCCCAGAGCUCAGGGACCCCAGGGACACUUUGGAGCCAGAGUGUGGGGAGCCAAAGGCAAUAAAGGGACUACCUGGACCCAGUGGCACUGGUGGUCCACAAGAUCCCCUGGGAGGUGUUGGGGCCCUGGGUCCCCCUGGAGAGAAGCCAGGAGAGUCAGGAUCUCCAGGAAUCCAGGGUGAGCCGGGUGUCAGGGUCUUGGUUUUCCUGGAGACCCUGGCCCCCCAGGAGAAGGUGGCUCAUGACCAGGACAGUGUUAACGGUGACUAUGGCAAGGAUGGUGAGCCAGUACAGCCCGUGAGUGACCAAUGUCCCUGCCACCCCCACUGAGCUCCAGCCUUCAGCCCCUUACCCCUCUUUUCUGUGCCCUACUCCUGAGGGGUCCCUUAGCUGGAGGCCAACACUCACCCACCCCAAUUCCUCUCAUUCUGUGGAUCCUCUGGUCCCACUGGGGAGAAUGGACUACCUGGACCACAUGGAAAGCAGGGUCAGCUAAGAAUAGCCAUGACUCAAGGGUCAGCUAAGAAUAGUCAUGACUCAAGGGUCAUUUAGGACACAGGAAGAUACCAGAUGAGGAAACUCUCCCCAAGUCCUAAACUCAUUCACAAAUUAGAACACAUAGGUCCAGCCCAGGCACAGUGGCUGAAGCCUGGAAUCCUCCCGCUUCCUGCUUCGGGAGACCAAGGCAAGAGGAUCUCUCGAAGUGUGAGUUGGAGGCCAGCUUGGGCGACACAAUCAGGAAAAGCAAGUGGCCACCAGGUGGCGCCCAAGAACUGGGCCCGAGUUCCCUGGGAGGAAUCUGCACGCAGCCCUGGGAUGGCACAGGGAUGCCUCACGGGACACCUGGCCUCGUCCUGGUAGCCCCUUGCUUGCAUUUCCCGGCCCUGGGGUGUCCUCCCCGACUGCACAUGCAUGUAGAGACCAUUCCUCCUUCUCCAAAGAGGGAUUUGGAACAAUUCUCACAUGACCUGACGAGGGACAGUGGCUGUGCUCAGGGUCCCUCUUUUGUCCUCAGAGCAUGACCAGGCCUGUGGCUCUUGCUCAUUGCCCAAGAGCAUGGGAGGUUGCCCGUGGCAAGGCCCUGGAGGACCCUGCUGUGCUGCCUGGGACCAGGAGGCCCGGCUGCCUUCUCCCAGCACCUCUCCCAGUUAGGGUACUGUGCAGGAAAUGGGUGCAGAGGCCAUAGUGGUGGCUGCUCCUGGGGUCCCAGCAGCUCUAGCUGAGGCAGGAGGAACCAGGGAGCCCAGGAGGCUGAGGCCCCUGUCCUACUGCUCUGGUCGUGCUGCAGUCUCUGUCACCACCAACAACUGCAGUGAGGUGAGCCACUGGGCUGCAGGCUCUAGCCUCCAGCCUGUGACAGAUGCCUCCUCUUUCUGACUCCUCCUGUAGCAGGGCACGGAGAAGCUCUCGCUCAUCGCUGCCUCCUACCACUCCGAACAUGCUGCAGUCUCGUUGACCACGCUGCAGUCUUGGUGGCCACCACCAACUGCAGGGAGCCUGGCCAGGUGCCGCAAGUUGCAGCCUCCACCUCCUCCUCUAAGUCGGGCUUGGAGCAGCAGCGGGAGCAGUCACAGAAGAGGCUGGAAUGGUGGAAUGCACCCUCAGUAUGCAUUAUAUAUAGAGGUUUCGGCAAUGAGGGCCUGGACUUUGUGUUCUGAUUGGAUGGGGGAAACCUCUAGGCUUUAUCUUCAUGCCCUGAUUGGUUAUCCUAAGAGUUGCUCUCAUCCAGUCUUCUUUAUAAGUGGUCAUCUUUGUAAGUUCAUGCCCACUGGGAGUUACUGAAGUUGUGAAUGAUUACAUUUAAACUUAUCCUGUAAUUUUAGUCUGAUUUAUUAAUUCCACCUAUCUCCUUAAGCAAAUUAUUCUCUAUAGUGAUGACCCAAGCAAAUUCCUGUCCCAAGAUGGUAUCAAGAUGAUACCCAAGUUCCUCUCCAGAAUGGUAUCUGGAUAUAUGUGGAGGGAAAUAUUUUUUCUAGGCCUGUAUUAAAUAUGGCACUAAAGCUUAGUGGCUUAAAACAAUACACUGUUAUUAUCUCACAGCUUCUGUGAAUAAGUAGUUCAGGAGAGUGUAGCUGGGUGAUUCUUGCCAAGAGUCUCAUAAGGUUGCAGUCAAUCUGUUGGUGAGAAUUGUAGUUACUUGAAGACUUGGAGUUGAAGAAUUUAUAUCAAAGAUGGCUUACUUAUGGCAAUUGGAUGGAAGCCCCAGUUUCAGAAUGGCUGCUGGCAACAGGUCUUUUUACUUGCCACAUGGACCUCUCCAUAGGCUGACUGAAUGUCCUCCCAAUGUGUCAUCUGGCUUUCUCCAGUGCAAAAGAUCAAAGAAGAGAGUAUGAAGGAACCCGUAAUGCUCUUUAUAAUUUUGUCACAGACCGUCACUUCUGCCAUACUCUAUUGUUUAGAAGUUAGUCAUUAAGUCCAGCCCACACUCAAAAGAACGAGAAUUAACCUCCACCUUUGGAAGAGAGGCUAGUCAAAGCACUUGUGGACAUGUUUUGAAACCACAAAGGGGUAUGGCUGCCAGUCUCCAAGAUGGCCGCCAGUGAUUCUCAUCAGCUGUUAUUAAUACAUUUGUAUAGUCCCUUCCCACAAGAAAAAAGAGUUGAUCUGUUUAAUUAGUAUUAUUUUGUUGAAAUGACAGAGUCUGACUUGCAAGUUUAGGUCAUAAGAAGAAUUUUGACUUCUGCCUUAUUCUCUAUUGGAUCAAUAUCCCUAGGGGAAGCUAGAUGCAAUGUCAUGAAAUCAUUCAAACAGUCCCAUGGAACAAUCCAUCUAGCAAGGAACUGAUAUCUCCUAGCAAUAGCUGGCAUUAACUUACAAGUCGUAUGAGUGGGCCAUCUUAGAAUUGGAUUCUUCAGUCCAAAUCAAGUCUUCAGAUAACUGUAGCCCUGGCUGACAUCUUGAUUACAUCCUCAAGAGAGACCCUGAGCCAGAAUCACUCAGUUAAGCCACUGAGUUCUUUUUGCCAAAAACUUUUUUUUUACCAAGUUCUUUUUGCCACCAACUUUAUUGAGGUAUAAUUGACAAUUAAGAUUGUAUAUAUUUAAGGAAUACAACUUGAUGAUUUGAUAUACACAUACAUUGUGAAAUAAUCGUGAUAAUUAGGUUAACAUAUUCAUUACUUCACAUAAGUACCAUUUUCGUGUGUGUGUGUGUGUGUGUGUGUGUGUGUGUGUGUGUGUGUGGUGAGAACACAUGAGAUGUAUCCUCUUAGAAAAUUUCAAGUAUACAAUAUAUUAUUGUUAACUACAGUCAUAUUAUUGUAUACUAUGUCUCCAGAACUUAUUCACCUUGCGUAACUGAGAUGCUGUACCCUUGACCAAUGUCUCCCCCUUUUCUUCUCCCUCCAGCCCCUGGUAACUACCCUUCUACUUUCCAGUUCUAUACAUUUGACUCUUUUAGAUUCCACACAUAAGUCAAAUUUUUGACCCUUAGGAGCUGGGUGAAUAAUAAAUAUUUAUUGUUAUUUUCAGCCUUAUGAUUUUAAGUUAAUUUGUUAUGCAGUAAUAGAAGUUGCCACAUGAAGCUAUGACACUGGUUAACUCAUUUAUUCAGUAAACAUUUGCUAAGAGCAGACUAAGUGCCAGGAUCAAUUUUAUAAUUGGGGGUACAGGGUUAAGUCAAAAUGGCAGACUAGAAGCAGAUCAUGUGCACUGCUGUCAUGGAGAGGAAACAAAAUGGCUAGUGAACACUGAUCUUGCCAUGUGAUCCCCUAAGAAACCACAUCAGCAUCCAUGAAGGCAGCAAGGGGACACAGAGAGGAGAGAGGAGUGAAGCUGAGCAGCCCAUCUGUGAUCAGCAUGGAGCUAGAAGAAGCUCCCAAACAUAGGGAAAGAACGGAUUUUCGCUCUUGUCGGCCGGGCUGGAGUGCAAUGGCGUGAUCUCGAUUCACUGCAACUUCCGCCUCCUGGGUUCAAGUGAUUCUCCUGCAUCAGCCUCCCAAGUACCUGGGAUUACAGGCAUGUGCCACUAUGCCCGGCUAAUUAUUUUUGUAUUUUCAGUGGAGAUGGGGUUUCACUAUGUUGGUCAGGCUGGUCUUCAACUCCUGACCUCAAGUGAUCCACCUGCCUCGGCCUCCCAAAGUGCUCACAGGCGUCAGCCACUGCACCCGGCCCCACACAUCCGAAUUCUACCAGAUGUACAAAGAAGAACUGAUACCAAUUCUAUUGAAACUUUUCCAGAAAAUCGAGGAGGAGGGGCUUCUCCUUAACUCAUUCUAAGAAGCCAGCAUCAUCCUGAUACAAAAAUCUGGCAGAGACACAAUGAAAAUGAAAAACUUCAGGCCAAUAUCCUUGAUAAACAUAGAUGUAAAAAUCCUCAACAAAAUACUAGCAAACCAAAUCCAGCAGCACAUCAAAAAGUUAAACCACAAUGAUCAAGCAUACUUUAUUUCUAGGAUACAAGGUUGGUUCAAAAUAUGCAAAUCAACAAAUGUGAUUCAUCACUAAGCAGAACUAAAGACAAAAACCAUAAGGUCAUCUCAAUAGAUGCAGAAAAAAGCCUUUGGUAAAAUCCAACGUCCCUUCAUGAUAAAAACUCUCAACAUAUUAUGCUGAGAGUUCAACAUAUAAUAUUGAAGGAAUAUACCUCAAAAUUAUAAGAGCCAUCUAUGACAAACCCACAACCAACAUCAUACCGAAUGGGCAAAAGCUGGAACCAUUCCCUUUGAAAAUUGGAACAAGACAAGGAUUCCCACUCUCACCACUCCUAUUCAACAUAGUAUUGGAAGUCCUGGUCAGAUAAAUCAGGCAAGAGAAGGAAAGAAAAUGCAUAUGAACAGGAAAAGAAGGAGUCCAAACUCUCUCUUUGCCAAUAUUAUUCUACACCAAGAAAACCCUAAAGACUCUGCCAAAAGGCUUCUGGAAAUGAUAAACAAAUUCAGUAAAGUUUCAGGGUACAAAAUCAAUAUACAAAAAUCAAUAGCAUUUUUAUACAUCAAUAACAUUCUACCUGAGAACCAAAUCAAGAACACAAUCCCAUUUACAAUAGCCACAAAGGAAAUGAAAUACCUAUGAAUUCAUCUAACCAAGGAAGUGAAAGAUCUCUACAAGGAGAACUACAAAGCACUGCUGAAAGAAAUCAGAGACUAUACAAAUAAAUAAAUGGAAAAAUGUUCCAUGCUCAUGGAUUAGAAUGAUCAAUAUAGUUAAAAUGGCCAUACUGCCCAAAGCAAUUUACAAGUUCAAUGCAAUUCUUAUUAAAAUACCAACAUCAUUUUUCACAGAAUAAGAAAAACCUAUUCUAAAAUUCAUUUGGAACCAAAAACAGAGCCCGAAUAGCCAAAGCAAUUAUAAGAAAAAAGAAAAAAAAGCCAUAGGCAUCAUAUUGCUUGACUUCAAACUCUACUACAGUAUACAGCUACCGUAAUCAAAACAGCAUGAUACUGGUACAAAAACAGACAGUGGAACAGAAUGGAAAACCCAGAAAUCUACCUGCACACCUACAACCAUCUGACAAAAUCAACACAAAUAAGCAGCAGGGAAAGGAGUCUCUAUUCAAAGAAUGGUGGUGGAAUAUCUGCCUAGGCAUAUGCAGAAAAAUAAAACUGGACCCCUAACUCUCACCAUACUCAAAAAUGAACUCAAGAUGGAUUAAAGAUUUAAAUCUAAGAUUACAAACUAUAAAAAUCCUAGAAGAAAACCUAGGAAAUACCCUUCUAGACAUGGGCUUUGGCAAAUGAUUUAUGCUAAGUCCCCCAGAGCAAUUACGACAAAACCAAAAAUUGAUAAUUGGGGCCUAAUUAAACUAAAGAGCUUUUGCACAGCAAAAGAAAUUACCAACAGAGUAAACAGACAGCCUACAAAAUGGGAGAAAAUACUUGCAAACUAUGCAUCUAAGGUCUAAUAUCCAGAAUUUACAAGGAACUUAAAUCAAUGAGAAAAAAAAACCAAUUAAGGAAUGAGCAAAGGACAUGAACACUUUUCAAAAGGAGACAUACACAUGGCCAAAACAAACAUAAAAACAUGCUCAACAUUACUAAUCAUCAGAGACAUACAAAUCAAAACCAAGAUGAGGUACUAUCUCACACCAGUUAGAAUGGCAAUUAUUUAAAAAGUCAAAAAAUAACAGCCGUCGGCGAGGCUGCAGAGAAAAGAGAAUGCUUAUCUACUUUUGGUGGAAAUGCAAGCUAGUUCAGCCACUGUGCAAAGCUGUUUGGAGAUUUCCCAAAUACCUUAAAACAGAACCACCAUUCAGUGCUGCAAUCCCGCUACUGGGUAUAUACCCAAAGGAAAAUAAUUCAUUCUAUCAUCAAGACAAAUGCACCUGUAUGUUCAUUGCAGCACUACUCACAAUAGUAAGGACAUAGAAACAACCUAAGUGUCCAUCAACAGUGGACUGGAUAAAGGAUAUGUGGUACACAUACACCAUGGAAUACUACACAGCCAUAAAAAGGAAUGGAAUCAUGCAUGUCCUUUGCAGCAACAUGGAUGGAGCUGGCGGCCAUUAUCCUAAGUGACCUAAAAGAAGAACGGAAAAUCAAAUAACACAUGUUCUCACUUACAGGUGGGAGCUAAACACUGAAGAC
RNAcentral lists this long non-coding RNA (8205 nucleotides) under Homo sapiens (human). RNAcentral describes it as "non-protein coding lnc-LANCL2-1:5". Lineage: Eukaryota; Metazoa; Chordata; Mammalia; Primates; Hominidae. The record is from RNAcentral.